AGCGUAUACGGUGGAUGCCUUGGCAAUAAGAGGCGAUGAAGGACGUGCUAACCUGCGAAAAGCUGCGGUAAGCUGGUAAGAGGCGCAAUACCCGCAGAUGUCCGAAUGGGGAAACCCACUGCGCAAGCAGUAUCCUGUUUACAGGAAGCGAACCGGGAGAAGUGAAACAUCUCAGUACCCCGAGGAAAAGAAAUCAACCGAGAUUUCCCUAGUAGUGGCGAACGAACGGGAAGAAGCCCAAAAUCUUGAUAUGUGAUAGCUGAAUCAGUUGGGAAGCUGAACAGAAAAGUGUGAUAGUCACGUAAGCGACGUUGCGUAUUGAGUGAUACAUGAGUAUGGCGGGACACGAGAAAUCCUGUCAGAAGAUGGGGGGACCAUCCUCCAAGGCUAAAUACUACUUAUUGACCGAUAGUGAACCAGUACCGUGAGGGAAAGGCGAAAAGAACCCCUGUGAGGGGAGUGAAAAGAAUCUGAAACCGUAUACGUACAAGCAGUAGGAGCGCUACGGCGUGACUGCGUACCUUUUGUAUAAUGGGUCAGCGAGUUGCUUUCAGUGGCGAGGUUAACCGUAUAGGGGAGCCGUAGGGAAACCGAGUUUUAACUGAGCGAAUAAGUCGCUGGGAGCAGACCCGAAACCUGAUGAUCUAGUCAUGGGCAGGAUGAAGGUAAGGUAACACUUACUGGAGGUCCGAACCCACUAACGUUGCAAAGUUAGGGGAUGACCUGUGACUAGGGGUGAAAGGCCAAUCAAAUCAGGUGAUAUCUGGUUCUCCCCGAAAGCUAUUUAGGUAGCGCCUCAAUUGAUGAUUACAGGGGGUAGAGCACUGUUUCGGUAAGGGGCCCAUCCCGGGUUGCCGAGUCGAUGCAAACUCCGAAUACCUGUAAGUGAAGAUUGGGAGACAGACAGCGGGUGCUAAGGUCCGUUGUCGAGAGGAAAAGAGUCCGGACCGCCAGCUAAGGUCCCCAAGUACAGAUUAAGUGGGAAACGAUGUGGGAAGGCAUAGACAGCUAGGAUGUUGGCUUAGAAGCAGCCAUCAUUAAAAGAAAGCGUAAUAGCUCACUAGUCGAGUCGGCCUGCGCGGAAGAUGUAACGGGGCUAAAUCUGUCACCGAAGCUGCGGAUUCAUUCGUAAGAAUGAGUGGUAGGGGAGCGUUCUGUAAGGUGAAGAAGGUGUACUGGAAGGUAUGCUGGAGCUAUCAGAAGUGCGAAUGCUGACGUGAGUAACGAUAAUACGGGUGAAAAACCCGUACGCCGAAAGACCAAGGUUUUCUGUCCAACGUUAAUCGGGGCAGAGUGAGUCGGAUCCUAAUGAUAAACUGAAAAGUGAGGCAGAUGGGAAAUCGGUUAAUAUUCCGAUACUUUAUAUGACUGCGAUGGAGGGACGAAGAAGGUUAGGCACGCAUACUGUUGGAUGUAUGUGAAAGGGUGUAGUUCCGCUGUGUACGAAGAGAAGGCAUGGCGAAGGAUGAGACCUGAGAGGAGGGAACUACGGUUCCUGAAGGUGUUGAUACCCUGCUUCCUGGAAAAUCUUCUAAGCUAUAGGUCAUAUAAAACCGUACCCCAAACCGACACAGGUGGUCGGGUAGAGAAUACCAAGGCGCUUGAGAGAACUCGGGUGAAGGAACUAGGCAAAAUAGUACCGUAACUUCGGGAGAAGGUACGCCGAUGGUUGUUAGCCGUCACGCACGGUAAAGCAAUAAUCGGUCACAGAAACCAGGUGGCUGGGACUGUUUAACAAAAACACAGCACACUGCAAACACGAAAGUGGACGUAUAGUGUGUGACACCUGCCCGGUGCCGGAAGGUUAAGAGGAGAUGUCACUCUAUGGGAGGAAGCAUUGAAUUGAAGCCCCGGUAAACGGCGGCCGUAACUAUAACGGUCCUAAGGUAGCGAAAUUCCUUGUCGGGCAAGUUCCGACCUGCACGAAUGGUGUAACCAUGGCCACGCUGUCUCCACCCGAGACUCAGUGAAAUCGAAAUCGCUGUGAAGAUGCAGUGUACCCGCGGCUAGACGGAAAGACCCCGUGAACCUUUACUAUAGCUUGACACUGAACAUUGAGUCUGUCUGUGUAGGAUAGAUGGGAGACUAAGAAGCAUGUACGCCAGUAUGUGUGGAGUCGUUGUUGAAAUACCAUUCUGACAUGCUUGAUGUUCUAACCCUGCGGGGGACAGUGUCUGGUGGGUAGUUUGACUGGGGCGGUCUCCUCCUAAAGGAUAACGGAGGAGCACGAAGGUUGGCUAAUCACGGUCGGACAUCGUGAGGUUAGUGUAAUGGCACAAGCCAGCUUGACUGCGAGACAGACGAGUCGAGCAGAUGCGAAAGCAGGUCAUAGUGAUCCGGUGGUUCUGAAUGGAAGGGCCAUCGCUCAACGGAUAAAAGGUACUCUGGGGAUAACAGGCUGAUACCGCCCAAGAGUUCAUAUCGACGGCGGUGUUUGGCACCUCGAUGUCGGCUCAUCACAUCCUGGGGCUGAAGUUGGUCCCAAGGGUAUGGCUGUUCGCCAUUUAAAGUGGUACGCGAGCUGGGUUCAAAACGUCGUGAGACAGUUUGGUCCCUAUCUGCCGUGGGCGUAGGAAGAUUGAGAGGACUUGCUCCUAGUACGAGAGGACCGGAGUGAACGAACCUCUGGUGUACGGGUUGUCAUGCCAAUGGCACUGCCCGGUAGCUAAGUUCGGAAUCGAUAACCGCUGAAAGCAUCUAAGCGGGAAGCGAGCCUCAAGAUAAGUCUUGCCAAAUAUAGUUUGUAAGGGCCGUUCGAGACCAGGACGUUGAUAGGUGUGAGGUGGAAGAGUCGGAGAGACUUGUAGCUGACACAUACUAAUUACCCGAGAGUCUUAACU
Molecule: ribosomal RNA, 2840 nt
Filed under: human gut metagenome
Description: bacterial LSU rRNA
Rfam family: Bacterial large subunit ribosomal RNA
Source: RNAcentral